Molecule: ribosomal RNA, 253 nt
Filed under: uncultured bacterium
Lineage: Bacteria
Description: partial 16S ribosomal RNA
Rfam family: Bacterial small subunit ribosomal RNA
Source: RNAcentral
UACGGAGGGUGCGCGCGUUGUUCGGAAUCACUGGGCGUAAAGGGCGUGUAGGCGGUCCGCUAAGUCUGAUGUGAAAGCCCGGGGCUCACCCCCGGAAGUGCAUUGGAAACUGGCGAACUCGAGUCCCGGAGAGGAGAGUGGAAUUCCUGGUGUAGCGGUGAAAUGCGUAGAUAUCAGGAGGAACACCGGUGGCGAAGGCGGGUCUCUGGGCCGAUACUGACGCUGAGGAGCGAAAGCGUGGGGAGCGAACAGG